This 1993-nucleotide long non-coding RNA is filed under the name Anas platyrhynchos platyrhynchos (common mallard). Its description in RNAcentral is "lncRNA (ENSAPLG00000017970.1)". The record is from RNAcentral. Lineage: Eukaryota; Metazoa; Chordata; Aves; Anseriformes; Anatidae.
CUGUCAUUAGGUUCCAUGCAGUUGUACUUAAACCAGUCGAGUGCAGCUUUUUUUAAAAUCAAAUAGAAUAAUAAGUUCUCACUCUAUAAUGCAUGAAGUGGUUUUCGCUAAACCACGAAUCAAAGCUGAGUUUGGCAGCGAAGCCCAGUGCUCCCACAGCCCAUGGAGCGAAGCAGCCAGCAGACUUCCUGCUCAGCUGGGGACACCUCCAGACAGCUUCUGCAGUCUCACCUGACCCAUCACAGUUGCAGCAUUACUGACAAGGGGAAGAAGUGGUCUUCUAGCGUUCAGAAGUCCAGAAAGGUUCAACAAAGUGAUUAUUGAAGAAAAACAGAAGCUCUGCUGAGCUUACAUUGAUGCCUUGAACAUUUCUCUCACUCAUUUUUUAUUUAUUACCUACUUAUUUACUCUAAUGAGCAACCUUGGUCAGAAUGAUUUGCGGACAAACAUGUCAUGUUGACUCCCUGUGACUGACCAUCAUGGGCAUUGACUUCUGGGCUUUGGAACAGCUGCUGCUUCCGUAGACUGUUGAGGCAUAAAAACCUCUUGGAAUAGGACUCAGAAGAUGUUUCUGUUUUUUUCAAUAAGCACGUGAAAUUCCCAGAUUGGGAUUGGAGCUAUGGAAUUUGUAUUUCUGUCAUAAUGUGUGGUCUCACCUGGGCGUACUCUACCCUUUUCCCUACACCAAAUGUGCAUAGCACAGUUGGGUCUGACUUGCCCAAGCUACCUCCUAAAAGUCAAGGUUGUCAGACACCAAGUGAUGUAUGAGCUCCAACAGCACUGCUCUGCAGUUGGUGACCUGCCUGCUCAGGGAGUUCAGGUCCACGGUUGGAUUAACAUCUCAUUCCUUCUGUAUGUCUGGAUAUCUGGAAUUGCCUUGACAUGUUGAAAGAAAUGCCAUCAAGCUUCUUUUACGUAUUUUGGAUGUGCUUUAAUUCUUAGUAUACUUCAGCUUCAUACCUGUUCUGUAAUAAUACAUCACAUUUGAAAUCACAGUGACAGUGGAUUAUCCAACUUCUGUGGAGUCAAAAUCAGAUGCAGCAUCUCUUGUACGUAGCGAAUUCAGGAUCACUCAGUGCAUAUGCUUCCUCCCUCCCUGACUAUUUUACUACCCUUGCAUAGUUGGUCUUCAUACAGGCGUUAACAGAGAACCAUUCAUAAUGUCAAAUGCUUAAAAUUUCCAAUCUCAGUAAGAAAGUUGCCAUCUUGUAGUCUUCCUGUUUGCUGGGACUUGCUCCUUUAAGGCAAAGAUGAAGCUUGAUGUAGCUUGUGUAGAGAAGUUUCCCAAAUUUCCAGAGAACCAACCGAAGGCUUUUAAUAGCUGCCUUCUUGUACUUGUGCUUACCUCACCUCUGCUCCGCAGGCAGUGCAUCUUCUCAUUGUGUCCUAGCCCUGAGGCUCUGACACAGAGCUGCCUCUAGCUUCACACCAUACCGGGCAGUGCGGCAGCCCUUCUAGCUGGCUCCUGCCAGCAAGGCCUGAAAUUGCCACUGCCCUCACAUUCGGCCUUUUGAUGGUUUCUUACUGAGCUCUAACAGAAACAACAAAUCUCCUUAUUUUGUUGCUAAGUCCAUGGUGUUUAAAUUGCACUGACUCUUUGGUCAGAGUUCAGCGCAGCAAACUGUAGGGAAUGGUUUUUGACUGAGAUGGAGCUUAGGAGAUGUAUUAUUUAUUGCAUUCAAUUUUGAAAUGUGGCAAGUGCUAUAAAAUGUUUUUUCCCCAGCUAACUCAAAGCUAUGAAGGAUAGAGAGCCUGCUUCAUUUCAAAUACCUUGCCUUGCCUGUUCUUGGUGGAACUGAAAAUAUGUUUAGAGGGUUAUUUUUUGGUUGUUAUUUUCCCAUGUAUUUGAUAACCCAUUAGAAGUCUUGGUCAGUUUCAAGAAGUAACUGGAAGAGAGUCACAAAAUGCUGCUCGUGUCAUUAGACAUUCUUACUUUAUAUAAAAAAUACUUCAUAUGAAUAAAAAGCUGAAUUUCUUUUAAAAUUUUAAGAUA